RNAcentral lists this ribosomal RNA (253 nucleotides) under uncultured bacterium. RNAcentral describes it as "partial 16S ribosomal RNA". It matches the Rfam family "Bacterial small subunit ribosomal RNA", at positions 524 to 776 of the family's 1533-position model. The record is from RNAcentral.
UACAGAGGGUGCGAGCGUUAAUCGGAAUUACUGGGCGUAAAGGGCGCGUAGGUGGUUUAUUAAGAUUGUUGUGAAAUCCCUGGGCUUAACCUAGGAACUGCAACGAUGACUGGUAGGCUGGAGUAUUGUAGAGGGUAGUGGAAUUUCCGGUGUAGCGGUGAAAUGCGUAGAGAUCGGAAGGAACACCAGUGGCGAAGGCGGCUACCUGUACAAAUACUGACACUGAGGCGCGAGAGCGUGGGGAGCAAACAGG